RNAcentral lists this non-coding RNA (75 nucleotides) under uncultured Eubacterium sp. Its description in RNAcentral is "ZMP/ZTP riboswitch". It matches the Rfam family "ZMP/ZTP riboswitch aptamer (pfl RNA motif)". Rfam says of the family: Previously known as pfl RNA. ZMP is also known as AICAR. Lineage: Bacteria; Bacillati; Bacillota; Clostridia; Eubacteriales; Eubacteriaceae. The record is from RNAcentral.
UCCAUACAACUGGCGGAUUGGUGGAGUAUACCACAGGGAGUAUGGAAGAAUUGUACGUCGACCGCCUGGGCAGCC